Molecule: RNA transcript, 2642 nt
Organism: Fukomys damarensis (Damara mole-rat)
Lineage: Eukaryota; Metazoa; Chordata; Mammalia; Rodentia; Bathyergidae
Exons: 2
Source: RefSeq, a predicted model, not a curated record
UUUGCUCUCUGUGGCACGCACCUCAGUCUGCUUGCCUUCUGGGGAGCACGAGGGGCCUUCUCUGCCGUUCCCCAGAGACCCCAGAAGGCUGGAGCCUGUGUUGUGCACAAAAGUGACCUGGUCCUGAUGAGAAUCCUCCCAGUCAUUCAACAAACACUUUUGGAGCCCAGAGCUGGGGCUGACAGUCGCCCUCCUGGCCUGGCGCCCUAGGGACCAAGUGGGCACCCAGGAGGCCUGGUGGGUAGUGAGUGACAGGUGUGUCUGGCCCUGGCACCCAGUGGGGGCGUGGGCAUCUUCAGAGCCUCUGGAAUGGCUGGGCAGAGGCCCAGGGCUGGGCUGCGACGGUGUCUUCUGUCCGCAGUCUCUGAUCUCUGUCUGAGCCUGCGGGAGGCCCUGGUUUCCUUCAGUCCACUCAGCAGAGCUUGAGUUACCUUGGUUACCUCCUCCAGGCUGUGCUGCCAGACCCCUUCCCGGGGGCAGACCCAGACUCGAUGAAGGCCGCUGCCCAGGCCCCUCCGCAGCCCUGGGCCCCACCCCCUCCAUGUGUGGCCCCCGACUUUGGGCCGGCUCCUUGGCCUGGCAGUGCUCUACUGAUGGCUCUGGAGUCAGGCAGGGUGUGGUCCGCACUGCUGCCACGUGUUUUCUGUGAGACCUGGGACGGAGCAGCUGGCUGGUGGACCACCCGUCCCUCUAUCCUUCUUGGCCAUGUGGGGUCCAGCCCCACCUCCCAUGCUGUCCCCUCCCUCUGCAGUGUGGUCAGGAGCCAGAGCAGGACAGAGGCAACCACCUGGUCCUCACAUCCAGCCCCGUCUGUGAUCCCGACCUCAGCAGAGGGCAGGUGGGGCGAAGGCGGGAGUGUGACUGGACCCAGGGCUGCCCUGAUGUCCCCACGGGCCAGGCAGCGCGCAGAGGGCUCUGCCCACUGGAAUGGAAGGGCCCCUCCUCAAAGCUGCGGCAGCCUCAGGAGUGUGCAGUUAUCUGAUCGCGCAGGCAUCUGCAGAUUCUGCUGAAACAGGAAGGGGCCCCCUGGCCCUGACACGGGGGGCUGCAUGGUGGGGGCCAGGCCUCCUCGCCAGCCUCGGGGCACACCCCCCACCUGAGGGGGCCGUGGGAGGGUGGGUGGAAACGCACACCUGCACAGGUGGGAGGUGUGGCACCUCCAGGCCCUCCCAGACGGGCGCGGACGGGGUGCAGUGGGUGUGAGGGUCAUCUUGGCUGUCACCUGACUGCUCGGAGAGAGGCUGGGGAGCGGGGGAAGCACAGUGAGGUCAGCGAGCUGAGCGGGCCCCCCUGACUGUGUGGCACUGCCUGUGGGCCGGGACUCCAUGGUGCCGAGCGGCGUCUCGCUGCUGCUGUGGCUGUGGGGCCAGAGCCCGCUGCCCCCGCCUUUGACAGUGGGCUCACACGGGACGCCCAGCCGGCCUGGGACGGACGACAUCCUCUGUCCCUCUGCUCUGAAGCUGCAGGCUCCUGGUUUCCAGACUCCAGCUGGAGGCAGCUGCUGUAACCCUUGUGUCAAUUACGCCCACACCCUAGGGCUCCCUCCCAGACACUGCCCAGUACGGCCGGGGCGGCACCUCUGCAAGCUGGACCAAGGGACAAGUGGCCGCAGUUUGCAGGACUUCAGCCCAAGGGAGGGCAGUCAGGCUUGCUGCCUGGAUGGAACAGAGCUCACCCUGGUCUGGGUGCGACACCCUUGAUUCUGAACAGGCUGAACUUGAGGUGGAUGAGCUGCAGCCCCACACAGUGCUGCCAGAGGUGCACGGCUGGGAGUCACUGUGUCCACAGAGAGGUGAGGGACACCACAGCCAGGCACACAUGCGCGCGCGCACACACACACACACACACACACACACACACGCAUGCACGCACGCGUGCACGUGACUCUUGGUUCCUAAGACCGGACAGUUAUAGAGUUUCACGGUGAGUUACUGCUCCUUGUUUAGUUAUCCCUCUCCUCUCCUUUCCUCUAACCCUUGGCUUCUCUACAGUGUCCUCCGUCACCAGUGCCGUACUGCCUCAGCCGUCCUUGCGCAGUACGCGGCUCUGUCCACAGCAGCCUGUGGACACCUGGCCUCGGCCCAGCGGAGCUCCUUUCCCGCACCACAGCCGCCGCACCUGGCUCUCGUGGAGGGGAUCUUGCUGUCCACCGUCUUCCAUCCUGGCGUGGACUCAAGCCAGCCCCAGCUCUGCCUCGGCUGUUGGCACAGACUGCACCACUGCCAUGCCCUCCUGGCAGGCAGCACAUCUGAGGCCCAGGAGCUGGGCAGAGCGGCUGCCCAGCCCACGGGACCCAGGUGGCUUAUUGCCUGGGCCGCCUGUGCUGCCUGUGCUGCCAAAAGACCACCACAGGAGCAAACAGACGGCCUCCCUGAGUGCACCACUCACACAUUUACAGAUUGGAAAGGAUAUCAGGGGUUGCAGUGAGUUAAAAACCAUAAAAAGAUGCCAGCUUCCUGGUGGUGAGGGACAGCUGCCACCCACAGGGGCCUUCGCAAACUUAGCCCCAGGCUGGUGAUCAAGGUGUGAACUUGGAUGGGCACAGGCCUGGUGUGCAACUGUGGCCAGAACUCUGCUUGCUAAACAUGUGUGGUUUCAGCUGCCCGCUUUGCUUGUGUUUGAAGCCCUCGAUUUAAAUCCAG